This 376-nucleotide ribosomal RNA is filed under the name uncultured bacterium. RNAcentral's name for it is "bacterial SSU rRNA". It matches the Rfam family "Bacterial small subunit ribosomal RNA", at positions 523 to 898 of the family's 1533-position model. The record is from RNAcentral.
AUACGUAGGUCCCGAGCGUUGUCCGGAUUUAUUGGGCGUAAAGCGAGCGCAGGCGGUUUAAUAAGUCUGAAGUUAAAGGCAGUGGCUUAACCAUUGUUCGCUUUGGAAACUGUUAGACUUGAGUGCAGAGGGGGAGAGUGGAAUUCCAUGUGUAGCGGUGAAAUGCGUAGAUAUAUGGAGGAACACCGGUGGCGAAAGCGGCUCUCUGGUCUGUAACUGACGCUGAGGCUCGAAAGCGUGGGGAGCGAACAGGAUUAGAUACCCUGGUAGUCCACGCCGUAAACGAUGAGUGCUAGGUGUUAGGCCCUUUCCGGGGCUUAGUGCCGCAGCUAACGCAUUAAGCACUCCGCCUGGGGAGUACGACCGCAAGGUUGAA